ACAAGUGGCGGCGUGCUAUACAUGCAAGUCGAGCGGACAGAUGGGAGCUUGCUCCCUGAUGUUAGCGGCGGACGGGUGAGUAACACGUGGGUAACCUGCCUGUAAGACUGGGAUAACUCCGGGAAACCGGGGCUAAUACCGGAUGGUUGUUUGAACCGCAUGGUUCAGACAUAAAAGGUGGCUUCGGCUACCACUUACAGAUGGACCCGCGGCGCAUUAGCUAGUUGGUGAGGUAACGGCUCACCAAGGCGACGAUGCGUAGCCGACCUGAGAGGGUGAUCGGCCACACUGGAACUGAGACACGGCCCAGACUCCUACGGGAGGCAGCAGUAGGGAAUCUUCCGCAAUGGACGAAAGUCUGACGGAGCAACGCCGCGUGAGUGAUGAAGGUUUUCGGAUCGUAAAGCUCUGUUGUUAGGGAAGAACAAGUGCCGUUCAAAUAGGGCGGCACCUUGACGGUACCUAACCAGAAAGCCACGGCUAACUACGUGCCAGCAGCCGCGGUAAUACGUAGGUGGCAAGCGUUGUCCGGAAUUAUUGGGCGUAAAGGGCUCGCAGGCGGUUUCUUAAGUCUGAUGUGAAAGCCCCCGGCUCAACCGGGGAGGGUCAUUGGAAACUGGGGAACUUGAGUGCAGAAGAGGAGAGUGGAAUUCCACGUGUAGCGGUGAAAUGCGUAGAGAUGUGGAGGAACACCAGUGGCGAAGGCGACUCUCUGGUCUGUAACUGACGCUGAGGAGCGAAAGCGUGGGGAGCGAACAGGAUUAGAUACCCUGGUAGUCCACGCCGUAAACGAUGAGUGCUAAGUGUUAGGGGGUUUCCGCCCCUUAGUGCUGCAGCUAACGCAUUAAGCACUCCGCCUGGGGAGUACGGUCGCAAGACUGAAACUCAAAGGAAUUGACGGGGGCCCGCACAAGCGGUGGAGCAUGUGGUUUAAUUCGAAGCAACGCGAAGAACCUUACCAGGUCUUGACAUCCUCUGACAAUCCUAGAGAUAGGACGUCCCCUUCGGGGGCAGAGUGACAGGUGGUGCAUGGUUGUCGUCAGCUCGUGUCGUGAGAUGUGGGGUUAAGUCCCGCAACGAGCGCAACCCUUGAUCUUAGUUGCCAGCAUUCAGUUGGGCACUCUAAGGUGACUGCCGGUGACAAACCGGAGGAAGGUGGGGAUGACGUCAAAUCAUCAUGCCCCUUAUGACCUGGGCUACACACGUGCUACAAUGGGCAGAACAAAGGGCAGCGAAACCGCGAGGUUAAGCCAAUCCCACAAAUCUGUUCUCAGUUCGGAUCGCAGUCUGCAACUCGACUGCGUGAAGCUGGAAUCGCUAGUAAUCGCGGAUCAGCAUGCCGCGGUGAAUACGUUCCCGGGCCUUGUACACACCGCCCGUCACACCACGAGAGUUUGUAACACCCGAAGUCGGUGAGGUAACCUUUAUGGAGCCAGCCGCCGAAGUGACAGGAGG
Molecule: ribosomal RNA, 1455 nt
Filed under: Bacillus sp. (in: firmicutes)
Lineage: Bacteria; Bacillati; Bacillota; Bacilli; Caryophanales; Bacillaceae
Description: bacterial SSU rRNA
Rfam family: Bacterial small subunit ribosomal RNA
Source: RNAcentral